RNAcentral lists this ribosomal RNA (423 nucleotides) under uncultured bacterium. Its description in RNAcentral is "bacterial SSU rRNA". It matches the Rfam family "Bacterial small subunit ribosomal RNA", at positions 207 to 622 of the family's 1533-position model. The record is from RNAcentral.
AAGACCUUGCGCUUUUGGAGCGGCCGAUGUCUGAUUAGCUUGUUGGUGAGGUAAAAGCUUACCAAGGCUUCGAUCAGUAGCUGGUCUGAGAGGACGGCCAGCCACACUGGGACUGAGACACGGCCCAGACUCCUACGGGAGGCAGCAGUGGGGAAUUUUGGACAAUGGGGGCAACCCUGAUCCAGCCAUGCCGCGUGAGUGAAGAAGGCCUUCGGGUUGUAAAGCUCUUUCAGCCGGAACGAAACAGUUACGGUUAAUACCCGUGACUACUGACGGUACCGGAAGAAGAAGCACCGGCUAACUACGUGCCAGCAGCCGCGGUAAUACGUAGGGUGCAAGCGUUAAUCGGAAUUACUGGGCGUAAAGCGUGCGCAGGUGGUUUUGUAAGUCAGAUGUGAAAUCCCCGGGCUUAACCUGGGAACU